Non-coding RNA from Chlorocebus sabaeus (green monkey), 2364 nucleotides. Lineage: Eukaryota; Metazoa; Chordata; Mammalia; Primates; Cercopithecidae. The record is from RefSeq and is a predicted model, not a curated record.
AAGGAGAAAAGGGUUUGGACUUAACUUGAGGGCAGCAGGGAGCCACGGAAGGCUGUAGGCACAGAAGGGAUAUAGUCAGAUGAGGGUUUGAGAAAGGCUUUGUGCAGCAUAGAGAGCAGAAUAAAGUUGGGAGUGGCCCUGUCUUUCAUGAAACAAGCAGAAGGUGGCUAGGAAACGUCUCUGCAGGGGUGCAGAGAUGUUGUUCCAUACUCCUGGGCAGGAGGCCGUGUCCCUAAGCUCAGGUUGUCUCUGAUGAGCAGCUCCCCCACUCCCCAGCCCAUCCUCCAGGUCCGUAGCCUUUGUAGCCUGGGUGGGGUGAGGUCAGCGCUCUCCGGAGCAAAGCGUCACUGUGGAUUCCUGGGGUCCUCGGGAGGCCACAGCCAGCAGGGAGGGCUUCGGGGAGAGGAAAACCGACCGAGGCAUUCCCCGCAGCUGCCUGCCCUGAAGCGUCACUGGCCAGGAAUUCAGGGGCACCCAGGGGCCAUGCUUAUCACCCUCCCCAAGCGUCCGGAGCAGCCUGGUUCCAGUCGGCUGUCCAUCCAGAUGGGCCCUAAAUCAGUGGGCUCUUCCUCCUCCAGCUGCAGCCGACACAGAGCCUGAACCCCAGCCAACGCCCAAGCCCAGAAGCCCAGACGAUAACAUGUCAGCCUCCCACACACACAGACCCUCCCAGCUCCCAACACAGCCGCUGGGCCUCGCGUGUGUCAGCUGAGAGAUGUUGCAACAGGGAAAUGGCAUGGAACUGGACAGGGUGUGAGUUCAAAUAGUUUGGACACCCCUGAGUUAUACAGACACAAGCAGGAUUCUAGUGGACGGAAGACUCCAGGCUUCAACUCUUAGAUGAGGAAGCUGAGGCUCAGAGAGGAGCUGUGGUCCAUCCAAAGCACACAUUCCCAGAACAAAGCUCUUCCCGAGCCAUGAAGACAAUGCAUGAGGCAUUUCAGAGACGCCUCCCGUGCUAAGAAUGUUCCUGGGGCUGGGAGCCUGGAGACCCACGUUCCAGCCUUGAGGUGUCAUUUAAAAAUGGAAGAAUUGGGCACGUUGCCUCCGUUCUCUGGGCCUCAGUUUCUUCAUCUGUAAAACAUGGCUAAUGAUGGAACCCCCAUCAUAGAGUUGCUUCAAGGAUUAAAUAAGAUCAAGAAUGACAGAGGGCAUUUAGUAUACCUUCUCUGUUAAUGUCAUUGUUUCCAAAGAGAAAUGAGUUUCUUGAUCCCUAUAGGAGAGCAUGUUGGUGAAUUCUGCUGGGCUAAAAUUAAAACAGUGAUUUUUUUCCCCCACAGUUCUUUAGGGGUGCCCUAAUACUCAUUAAACCUACCCCACACAAGGCUGGCUUGUGUGCCUUGGGGCCACUUCAUCAGGGGAGGGAGAUGUUAUGGGACCUCACUCAGGACUGGUGCAUCCUUCCCUACCUCGAUGACACCAGCCACCAUCAGGGGGCUGACUGUGAAUGUUCAACAGUACCCAUGUGGAAGGGUCCUGAGCUCAGUGGUCUCUCCGUCAUGCUGGGGUUUGGGACCCUGGUUGUUUCCUUUCUUUAGCCCAGUGGAUCUCAUCUUUUGCUGCAUGUUACUAUCACCUGAGGACCUGUAAAAAAUAUUUACCCCAGACCAGACCAAUUAAGUCAAACUCUCCGGUUGUGGGAAAGGAAGGGACCCUCGUUUUUAAAGCUCCCUAGAUGAUUCUAAUGAGUGGCAAAGCUGAGAAUAACAGUUUAGCCCUUUUCAUGUGGUCGAGACCAGACCCUAAAUCUGUGUCUUCCUCCUGCAAAAGGGUAAAGUGGAAGAGCCAGAAUGGAACUGGGUGCAAAUCUUGCCUUUGUGUGGUUUCCUGCCUCCAUCCCUCUUCACCUCCCUGUGCCUCGGCUUCCACAUCCCUAAGGGGGAGUAAUAAUAGUGCCUGCUUCGGAGCCAGCGUGACUUCUUCGGCCCCCGCAUUUGUGGACCGGAGAACAUCACCCGAGAGCGCCGGCGCGACUUCCCUGGCCCCCCACACCUGAGGACCAGAGAACUUCGCCCGAGAGUGUGUGCAUAUUUGCAAUAAAAGACUGCCACUUUCUUACGUAACAACAACAAAAAAAAUAGUGCCUGCUUCUUGGGACUGCUGGGAGAGCAUCUAACAGGGUCUGCACUGUGCUCGGCACCUGUAAGCCUUCAACAGGUAGUGGGAUCAUUACUGUUAUUACUCUAGACCAGGGAUCCGAAAACUAUCUGCAAAUUAGGGUCAGUUCAUAAAUAUUUUCAGUUUUUCAGGCCAGAGGGUCUUAGUCAAAGCUACUUAACUCUAGUGCUGUAGCCCGAAAGCCACAGACAACAUGCAAAUGAAUGGGAGUGACUGUGUUUCAAUAAAAACUUACAAAAACACGCA